RNAcentral lists this ribosomal RNA (200 nucleotides) under uncultured bacterium. Its description in RNAcentral is "partial 16S ribosomal RNA". It matches the Rfam family "Bacterial small subunit ribosomal RNA", at positions 8 to 210 of the family's 1533-position model. The record is from RNAcentral.
AGAGUUUGAUCCUGGCUCAGGACGAACGCUGGCGGCGUGCCUAAUACAUGCAAGUCGAGCGGAAAGGCCCUUCGGGGUACUCGAGCGGCGAACGGGUGAGUAACACGUGAGCAAUCUGCCCCUAGCUUUGGGAUAGCUCCGGGAAACCGGAAUUAAUACCGGAUAUGACCACGGCCGACAUCAGCUGUGGUGUAAAGCUU